GACGAACGCUGGCGGCGUGCUUAACACAUGCAAGUCGAACGGUAAGGCCCUUCGGGGUACACGAGUGGCGAACGGGUGAGUAACACGUAGGUGAUCUGCCCUGCACUUCGGGAUAAGCCUGGGAAACUGGGUCUAAUACCGGAUAGGACCACUGCCUGCAUGGGUGGUGGUGGAAAGCUUUUGCGGUGUGGGAGUGGCCCGCGGCCUAUCAGCUUGUUGGUGGGGUGAUUGCCUACCAAGGCGACGGCGGGUAGCCGGCCUGAGAGGGGGACCGGCAACACUGGGACUGGGUUACGGCCCAGCCUGCUACGGGGGUCAGCAGUGGGUGAGAUUGCGCAAUGGGCGCAAGCCUGAUGCAGCGACGCCGCGUGAGGGAUGACGGCCUUCGGGUUGUAAGCCUCUUGCAGCACCGACGAAGCGCAAGUGACGGUAGGUGCAGAAGAAGGACCGGCCAACUACGUGCCAGCCGCCGCCGUAA
RNAcentral lists this ribosomal RNA (478 nucleotides) under uncultured bacterium. RNAcentral describes it as "partial 16S ribosomal RNA". It matches the Rfam family "Bacterial small subunit ribosomal RNA", at positions 28 to 523 of the family's 1533-position model. The record is from RNAcentral.